Small nuclear RNA from Gracilinanus agilis (Agile Gracile Mouse Opossum), 103 nucleotides. The record is from RefSeq and is a predicted model, not a curated record. NCBI's taxonomy places the organism in Eukaryota, Metazoa, Chordata, Mammalia, Didelphimorphia, Didelphidae.
UUGCUUUGGCGGCAUAUUUACCAAAACUGAAAUAAUUCAGAAGAGUUUAGCAUGGCUCCUGUACAAGGAUGGCAUACCAAUUCAUGAAACAUUCCAUUAAAAA